AGAGGUAGGCGGAAUGUGACAAGUAGCGGUGAAAAUGCAUAGAUAUGUCACAGAACACCGAUUGCGAAGGCAGCUUACUAUGAUGAGAUUGACGCUGAGGCACGAAAGCGUGGGGAUCAAACAGGAUUAGAUACCCUGGUAGUCCACGCCCUAAACGAUGAAUACUCGCUGUUAGCGAUACACAGUUAGCGGCUAAGCGAAAGCGUUAAGUAUUCCACCUGGGGAGUACGGUCGCAAGAUUGAAACUCAAAGGAAUUGACGGGGGCCCGCACAAGCGGAGGAGCAUGCGGUUUAAUUCGAUGAUACGCGAGGAACCUUACCCGGGCUUGAAAGUUAGUGAAUCAUUUAGAGAUAGAUGAGUGAGCAAUCACACGAAACUAGGUGCUGCAUGGCUGUCGUCAGCUCGUGCCGUGAGGUGUUGGGUUAAGUCCCGCAACGAGCGCAACCCCUAGGUUUAGUUGCCAGCACGUUAAGGUGGGGACUCUAAACAGACUGCCUGUGCAAACAGAGAGGAAGGAGGGGACGACGUCAAGUCAUCAUGGCCCUUACGUCCGGGGCUACACACGUGCUACAAUGGAUGGUACAGAGGGCAGCAAGCUGGCAACAGCAAGCGAAUCUCCAAAAGCCAUUCACAGUUCGGAUAGAGGUCUGCAACUCGACCUCUUGAAGUUGGAUUCGCUAGUAAUCGCAUAUCAGCAAUGAUGCGGUGAAUACGUUCCCGGGCCUUGUACACACCGCCCGUCAAGCCAUGGAAGUUGGGGGUACCUAAA
RNAcentral lists this ribosomal RNA (770 nucleotides) under uncultured bacterium. RNAcentral's name for it is "bacterial SSU rRNA". It matches the Rfam family "Bacterial small subunit ribosomal RNA", at positions 653 to 1425 of the family's 1533-position model. The record is from RNAcentral.